Molecule: ribosomal RNA, 654 nt
Filed under: Triticum aestivum (bread wheat)
Lineage: Eukaryota; Viridiplantae; Streptophyta; Magnoliopsida; Poales; Poaceae
Description: partial small subunit ribosomal RNA
Source: RNAcentral
AUGGCGCCGGUGAAGGUGUUCGGGUCGGCCGCGUUCACGAACGUGGCCCGCGUGCUGGUGUGCCUGGAGGAGGUCGGUGCGGACUACGAGGUUGUCAACAUCGACUUCCUGGCCAAGGAACACAAGAAACCCGAGCACCUCGCCCGAAACCCAUUUGGUGAAAUCCCAGCUUUUCAAGAUGGAGACCUCGUGCUCUUUGAGUCCCGUGCCAUCGCCAAAUACAUUCUCCGCAAAUACAGGACGGGCGAAGUCGACAUGCUGAGAGAAAGCAACCCGGAAGAAGCGGCUACGGCGGACGUCUGGGAGGUCGAGGCGCACCAGUACAGCAAAGCAGUCGCGCCUAUCGUCUACGAGUGCAUCGUGUACCCCACGGCCUACGGCAUACCGACGAACCAGAAGGUCGUGGACGAGAGCGUGGAGAAGCUGAAGGAGGUGCUUGAGAUCUACGAAGGCCGUCUGUCGAAGCAUGAGUACCUGGCGGGAAGCUUCAUUAGCGUCGCGGACCUCAACCAUUUCCCCUUCACGUUCCGCUUCAUGGAAACUCCGUAUGCGUCCGUGUUCGACUCGUUCCCUUCCGUGAAAGCGUGGUGGGAAAAGCUCCUGUUGAGGCCUUCCGUGAAGAAGAUCAGCGCCGACAUGCAGAAGAGGGUCUAA